GGGGUUGUAGCUCAGUGGUAGAGCGCCUGCCUAGCACGUGGGAGGCACUGGAUUCAAUCCUCAGCACCA
RNAcentral lists this transfer RNA (69 nucleotides) under Ictidomys tridecemlineatus (thirteen-lined ground squirrel). Its description in RNAcentral is "Spermophilus tridecemlineatus (thirteen-lined ground squirrel) tRNA". It matches the Rfam family "tRNA". From Rfam's summary of the family: Transfer RNA (tRNA) molecules are approximately 80 nucleotides in length. Their secondary structure includes four short double-helical elements and three loops (D, anti-codon, and T loops). The record is from Rfam by way of RNAcentral. Lineage: Eukaryota; Metazoa; Chordata; Mammalia; Rodentia; Sciuridae.